GGCGCGGCCAUGGCGCAGCCCCGGGUGCUGCCCCAGAGCAAGGAGACACUGCUGCAGUCCUACAACAAACGCCUCAAGGACGAUGUCAAGUCCAUCAUGGACAACUUCACCGAGAUCAUCAAAACCGCCAAGAUCGAGGACGAAACUCAAGUUUCUCGAGCAACCCAGGGUGAACAAGAUAACUACGAGAUGCAUGUCCGAGCUGCAAAUAUUGUCCGAGCUGGUGAGUCCCUGAUGAAGCUUGUGUCUGACCUGAAGCAGUUCUUGAUCCUCAAUGAUUUCCCCUCUGUGAACGAGGCCAUCAACCAGCGCAACCAGCAGCUGAGGAGUCUGCAGGAGGAGUGUGACAAGAAGCUGAUUGCACUGCGGGAUGAGAUCUCCAUUGACCUGUACGAGCUAGAAGAAGAAUAUUACUCUUCCAGGUACAAAUAGGGCAGUGGACUCUGCCUUACAACUCCAGGCCUUUUUGGGGUAGUUAGUCCAGACCAUCAAAUAGCCCUUAGAGUAUAGGUGUCGAGAAUGUUCCAAAAAAAAUUUCAGUCCUGCUUUUAAUUAGGUCAAACUCUUUCUCUUCAACUAAAGCAACUGCCUUUUCCUUGUAGAUACCCUACAGGGUUUAAAUGUCCUGGUGAAGGAGGUGUUCACAGCAUCCCAGGUUUGAUAGGUAAUUUCCUUAGGCUUCUGUUGUAAUCAUUAGAAAAGAAGAUGAAUUUCCUUGAGGGAGGUCCCUCUAAAGGAGCCUCUGGCUCUCUCCCUGCAGAUACCAGCUUGCUGGCUGGGUCCUGAUGGCAGCUGGUGUCACCUCACCUUCGUGGUGAGUCCUUUCACAAGUGACCUGGUCACACAUUGUGCCUUUUCCUUCACAGUCCACUGCCCCCAGCUGCCUCCAGUCCUGCUGGGGUCAGCAUUUGCAAGGAGCAAAAAAACUUGCUCAGUUUCAUUCAAUAAUGAAGUAUUGUGAUAGGAUUUUCUAAGGAAUGACUUAUUAUAGAUUUGUUUGUGGGAUUUUUAAUAUUUUUAAAAGCCUCUUGUUUAGCAAACAGACUACAGAAUUCAGACACUUUAUUUUUUUUUUUUUUUGUCAUGCACUCCAGCACUUCUAGUUAAUGAAAGCAGAAGAAAAUAAAUUUAAACUUGGUUAUUUUGGCUGCACUUUCCGAGCUAAGUGAAGUCAGUGCAAUAGUUUUAGGACUUUUAAACAAAAUUUUAAAAAUCUUACUUAAAAUUUUACUGACCAGGUUUUCUAUGUUUGCCUUUUGCAUUUUUCUAAGAAUGCUGAAUGCCUAUAACCCCAGCUAAGUCAACUAAAUUGCUCAAUAUAUUUGAAAGUAAGGCCAUUGUUUAUGAAUAAUAUAUGUAUUUUAAGAGUAAAAAAUAAUAAUAUGACACAGCUUAGAGGUAAAAGUUUAGAGUUGUUUUUCCAACUUUAUUCAGUUUUUUGAGGAGGUUGUGAUGAUCACAAACCCAAGCACCUGUGCAGGUGGUGCUAGGUCCAUGACAUAGCAGUGAGCUUAUCCAGAGGGACGUGGUGUGGGAUGAGAGUGCCCCACAAGUGCCAGGCAUGCUUCCCUCACUCUGCCACCUCUGUGUGCUGGUCACUCCCACUUUUGGACUGAGGGGUUUGGGGCUCUAAGAUCACACAGGUUCUGGCCAUGCUGGCAUGGUCUGUUCACCUGCCUGGCCCCAGGUGCCACAUAAAGCAACCCUUGCUGGCAGAACUAAUGUGGAAGCACAAAUCUCGGUGUACAUCAGAUGGAUUUGCCUUCCUGCUCUUAUCUUAUGGGUCACGAGGUGAGGAAACCUGGCAGCUCUGCAGAACUGUGAUCUGGCCCUUUGUUAUCACGUAGCAUUUGGUCGUUUGCUUCCUCCCUUCGUGUGCUCUUUCCUGUCUUUUUCUGCACCAAAGAAAUUGUGUCUGUGUAAAUACAGAAACAGUGAUUUAUUCAAAGUCCUUUUAUAAUUAGAAUACUACAAUAUUUUUAAUGAAAUCUUAUUGUCUAAUGUGGGGGAAAGGGUUUCUGUUAUGUCACGGCCAUGUUUCAGUGGCUGUCAACACAACAGCCUGUUUGCCCCCAGAGGGCAGUUCCUUGCUGUCCUGGGAAUGCCUGGGCAGUUGUAGGGGCAGGUGUUUGCCAGACUUUUGAUGUGCACAUGGGGCUUUUGAUGAGACCCAAAAGCAAAUUCUUGAAAGUAAGCCCGAGAAGAUUGUCCUGCAAGAAUUUUUGCUUUCCUGCCCUGUGAUCAAGUAGUUUUCUAGAGCUGUCCCUCUGCCCUCAGACUGGCUGGGUGCCCCAGGGGAGUAGUGAAGUCCCUUCCACGCCCUGAGGAGCCCUCCCAGGACACAGCACUCCCCUGCCAUGCUGUGGACAGGUUCUCCUGGGAGGUCUAUGACAGAACAGGAGUUGUAGUUCUGGUUCAGUCCUGAUGGUCUGUGUUAACUGAACCCAGCUCCACUGUGCUGGGGACUGAUCUUCCAAGGGAUUUUACAGAAGCCCCAGAUAUAAACCACUGCCUUCUCCCUUCUCCUGCAAAGCCAGCUGGGUGACGCUGCCAGAAAAGAGCUCAGCUUGCACCUAGUGCUUUGUGUGCUUGUUCCCCAAAGUGGUAACUGCAAGUCCAGCUUGCCCUCUCUCAUCCUAACCCCCAGACCUGCAUUUGUGUUCCAUUGCUCCCUCCUCUGAGAUCACAGGAGCUGUCCUGAGUGUGGGGUUAAAUCUCACAUAUUUCAUGUUUGUGCAAUAUGAACUGUCUCAUAUUUCUAUACUUAAAAUAUUUUCCUAAGCAUCAGUCCAUACAUUACAAAUGUAAAUAAAGCUGCAACAACAAAAUCACUUGACCCACUGGGUUUGUUUUUCUCUGAAUGCAAGCUGCUUUUUGCUCCAGCACUCACUUUGUCUUGGGUGUCUCUUGUGUGUGCAGCUCCUUCUUCUCUUUGGGAUUUGUUUUGGUUUUGUGCCAGUUCCUUCCAUGUUUCUUUUUAGUUUUGGCCCUUCCACAUUAUGUUUUCCUCAGAGUGGGCAAGAAUUAGCCAGUUGUUUAAAAACCUUUUUUUCCCACACUGCUGGUUCAUCCAGUGUUGGAGUCCAGCCAGCUGCUUUUAGAAACCCUGUUAGCUCAGGCUCUUUGAGAAAAGGCAGGAGCUGUCAGUAUUUUAUAAUCAAACUGGGAAUCUUCAAUGGAAGACCCAAACCUGUGGAGCACUUUUUUGAAAGGGCAGGGGUGCAAAUAGGGUUCUUCUUUAUUGUGACAGGGACAGGCCCCAAAACAAUUGUGGCAGGUGUUUUUUCUGAAGUAAAAUUUAAAGCAGGAUUUCUAUUUUUUCCUUACAUAGGUUGCACACUAAUUCCAAGUAAAAUAAUUAUGGAUAAGGUCUAUGUUUCACCCAUCAGUAGCAGAAGUUGCAUAUUUGGGGAUGCCAGGACUUUAGCUUAGAUCUUUUCAGAUACUUGGAGUGUCUGGAUUAGAAUUGAGCCUCUGUUUCAUUUUGUAGCCACAGUUCUUCUCUAAAAUUGCCCCAAUCCUCACCAAGCCCAAGAGAUUUUAGGACCGGCCCUUAGGGGGUUGUCUUAGGGAAGGCCAGUGUCACAUGAUUUAGGAUUAUUUCAUGAACACAGACUUUACAUCCAGCUUUUUUUUUUUUUUUUCCAUUUUCUUAAUGCUUUGCUUCUGUCUUGCUCCCUUCACCCUUUCCAUCCCUCCCUUCCUCUGUCACCACACCUGCUCUCUCCUCACUGGGGUUGUUUGUUCUGGAAAGCUACAGUCUGUGUGACAGCAAUGAUCUCCCGCUGUGCGAAGCCUACUGGAGACAAGACUUUGCCACGCUGUCCCCCGAGAGCCUCUCGAUGCCUCUGGCAGCUGCCACA
This 3863-nucleotide long non-coding RNA is filed under the name Taeniopygia guttata (zebra finch). Its description in RNAcentral is "lncRNA (ENSTGUG00000027500.1)". The record is from RNAcentral. Lineage: Eukaryota; Metazoa; Chordata; Aves; Passeriformes; Estrildidae.